GGAAGGAACCAACGGCUCCAUUCAAAGUCGCCAAAAGUCCAGGAGGUGCAGCUGCUGCGCAGUAAAUCGAACUGGCAACAGCCAUCAUGUGGACAGUGACGGCCUCUAAUGCUUCGAAAGGAAGACUUAACCAUGGAUCCCUCUUUUAAGAGACAAUCAUUUAAUUCGAGCUGAACUGAACUUACCAAAUGAAAGAGUAG
Molecule: long non-coding RNA, 200 nt
Organism: Daphnia magna
Lineage: Eukaryota; Metazoa; Arthropoda; Branchiopoda; Diplostraca; Daphniidae
Exons: 2
Source: RefSeq, a predicted model, not a curated record